GACGAACGCUGGCGGCGUGCUUAACACAUGCAAGUCGAACGGUGAAGCGCCUUCCUUUUUGGUGGGUGUGGAUGAGUGGCGAACGGGUGAGUAACACGUGAGUAACCUGCCCCCUUCUUCUGGAUAACCGCAUGAAAGUGUGGCUAAUACGGGAUAUUCUGGGUCUGUCGCAUGAUGGGUCUGGGAAAGAUAUUGUUUCGGUGGGGGAUGGGCUCGCGGCCUAUCAGCUUGUUGGUGGGGUGAUGGCCUACCAAGGCGGUGACGGGUAGCCGGCCUGAGAGGGUGGACGGUCACACUGGGACUGAGACACGGCCCAGACUCCUACGGGAGGCAGCAGUGGGGAAUAUGGCACAGUGGGCGCAAGCCUGAUGCAGCGACGCCGCGUGAGGGAUGGAGGCCUUCGGGUUGUGAACCUCUUUCGCCAGUGAAGCAGGCCUGCCUCGUUUGUGGGUGGGUUGACGGUAGCUGGAUAAGAAGCGCCGGCUAACUACGUG
Molecule: ribosomal RNA, 494 nt
Filed under: uncultured bacterium
Lineage: Bacteria
Description: partial 16S ribosomal RNA
Rfam family: Bacterial small subunit ribosomal RNA
Source: RNAcentral